GAUGAACGCUGGCGGCGUGCCUAAUACAUGCAAGUCGAGCGAACAGAUGAGGAGCUUGCUCCUCUGACGUUAGCGGCGGACGGGUGAGUAACACGUGGAUAACCUACCUAUAAGACUGGGAUAACUUCGGGGAACCGGAGCUAAUACCGGAUAAUAUAUUGAACCGCAUGGUUCAAUAGUGAAAGACGGUUUUGCUGUCACUUAUAGAUGGAUCCGCGCCGCAUUAGCUAGUUGGUAAGGUAACGGCUUACCAAGGCAACGAUGCGUAGCCGACCUGAGAGGGUGAUCGGCCACACUGGAACUGAGACACGGUCCAGACUCCUACGGGAGGCAGCAGUAGGGAAUCUUCCGCAAUGGGCGAAAGCCUGACGGAGCAACGCCGCGUGAGUGAUGAAGGUCUUCGGAUCGUAAAACUCUGUUAUUAGGGAAGAACAAAUGUGUAAGUAACUAUGCACGUCUUGACGGUACAUAAUCAGAAAGCCACGGCUAACUACGUG
This 497-nucleotide ribosomal RNA is filed under the name uncultured bacterium. RNAcentral describes it as "partial 16S ribosomal RNA". It matches the Rfam family "Bacterial small subunit ribosomal RNA", at positions 28 to 507 of the family's 1533-position model. The record is from RNAcentral.